GAUCAUGGCUCAGGAUGAACGCUAGCUACAGGCUUAACACAUGCAAGUCGAGGGGCAGCAUUCCAGUUUGCUUGCAAACUGGAGAUGGCGACCGGCGCACGGGUGAGUAACACGUAUCCAACCUGCCGAUAACUCGGGGAUAGCCUUUCGAAAGAAAGAUUAAUACCCGAUGGCAUAAUAGAACCGCAUGGUUUGAUUAUUAAAGAAUUUCGGUUAUCGAUGGGGAUGCGUUCCAUUAGG
RNAcentral lists this ribosomal RNA (240 nucleotides) under uncultured bacterium. RNAcentral describes it as "partial 16S ribosomal RNA". It matches the Rfam family "Bacterial small subunit ribosomal RNA", at positions 15 to 245 of the family's 1533-position model. The record is from RNAcentral.